UCUCAGUUCGGAUCGGAGUCUGCAACCCGACUCCGUGAAGCUGGAUUCGCUAGUAAUCGCGCAUCAGCCAUGGCGCGGUGAGUACGUUCCCGGGCCUUGUACACACCGCCCGUCAAGCCAUGGGAGCCGGGGGUGCUUGAAGUGCGUCGCCGCAAGGCGCGCCCUAGAGCAAAACCGGUGACUGGGGCUAAGUCGUAACAAGGUAUC
RNAcentral lists this ribosomal RNA (207 nucleotides) under uncultured bacterium. RNAcentral describes it as "partial 16S ribosomal RNA". It matches the Rfam family "Bacterial small subunit ribosomal RNA", at positions 1286 to 1500 of the family's 1533-position model. The record is from RNAcentral.